This 496-nucleotide ribosomal RNA is filed under the name uncultured bacterium. RNAcentral's name for it is "partial 16S ribosomal RNA". It matches the Rfam family "Bacterial small subunit ribosomal RNA", at positions 28 to 507 of the family's 1533-position model. The record is from RNAcentral.
GAUGAACGCUGGCGGCGUGCCUAAUACAUGCAAGUCGAGCGAACAGACGAGGAGCUUGCUCCUCUGACGUUAGCGGCGGACGGGUGAGUAACACGUGGAUAACCUACCUAUAAGACUGGGAUAACUUCGGGAAACCGGAGCUAAUACCGGAUAAUAUAUUGAACCGCAUGGUUCAAUAGUGAAAGACGGUUUUGCUGUCACUUAUAGAUGGAUCCGCGCCGCAUUAGCUAGUUGGUAAGGUAACGGCCUACCAAGGCAACGAUGCGUAGCCGACCUGAGAGGGGAUACGGCCCACCUGAAACUGGAACCCGGUCCGGACUCCUAGGGAGGGCGGCGGUGGGGAAUCUUCCGCAAUGGGCGAAGGCCUGACGGGGCAACGCGGCGGGGGUGAUGAAGGUCUUCGGAUCGUAAAACUCUGUUAUUGGGAAAGAACAAAUGUGUAGGUAACUAUGCAGGUCUUAACGGUACUAAUCAGAAAGCCACGGCUAACUACGUG